AGAUUAAGUUAUUAAGGGCGCACGGUGGAUGCCUUGGCACUAGAAGCCGAUGAAGGACGUUACUAACGACGAUAUGCUUUGGGGAGCUGUAAGUAAGCUUUGAUCCAGAGAUUUCCGAAUGGGGAAACCCAGCAUGAGUUAUGUCAUGUUAUCGAUAUGUGAAUACAUAGCAUAUCAGAAGGCACACCCGGAGAACUGAAACAUCUUAGUACCCGGAGGAAGAGAAAGAAAAUUCGAUUCCCUUAGUAGCGGCGAGCGAAACGGGAAGAGCCCAAACCAACAAGCUUGCUUGUUGGGGUUGUAGGACACUCUAUACGGAGUUACAAAGGACGACAUUAGACGAAUCAUCUGGAAAGAUGAAUCAAAGAAGGUAAUAAUCCUGUAGUCGAAAAUGUUGUCUCUCUUGAGUGGAUCCUGAGUACGACGGAGCACGUGAAAUUCCGUCGGAAUCUGGGAGGACCAUCUCCUAAGGCUAAAUACUCUCUAGUGACCGAUAGUGAACCAGUACCGUGAGGGAAAGGUGAAAAGCACCCCGGAAGGGGAGUGAAAUAGAACCUGAAACCGUGUGCUUACAAGUAGUCAGAGCCCGUUAAUGGGUGAUGGCGUGCCUUUUGUAGAAUGAACCGGCGAGUUACGAUUUGAUGCAAGGUUAAGCAGUAAAUGUGGAGCCGUAGCGAAAGCGAGUCUGAAUAGGGCGUUUAGUAUUUGGUCGUAGACCCGAAACCAGGUGAUCUACCCUUGGUCAGGUUGAAGUUCAGGUAACACUGAAUGGAGGACCGAACCGACUUACGUUGAAAAGUGAUCGGAUGAACUGAGGGUAGCGGAGAAAUUCCAAUCGAACCUGGAGAUAGCUGGUUCUCUCCGAAAUAGCUUUAGGGCUAGCCUCAAGUGAUGAUUAUUGGAGGUAGAGCACUGUUUGGACGAGGGGCCCCUCUCGGGUUACCGAAUUCAGACAAACUCCGAAUGCCAAUUAAUUUAACUUGGGAGUCAGAACAUGGGUGAUAAGGUCCGUGUUCGAAAGGGAAACAGCCCAGACCACCAGCUAAGGUCCCAAAAUAUAUGUUAAGUGGAAAAGGAUGUGGCGUUGCCCAGACAACUAGGAUGUUGGCUUAGAAGCAGCCAUCAUUUAAAGAGUGCGUAAUAGCUCACUAGUCGAGUGACACUGCGCCGAAAAUGUACCGGGGCUAAACAUAUUACCGAAGCUGUGGAUUGUCCUUUGGACAAUGGUAGGAGAGCGUUCUAAGGGCGUUGAAGCAUGAUCGUAAGGACAUGUGGAGCGCUUAGAAGUGAGAAUGCCGGUGUGAGUAGCGAAAGACGGGUGAGAAUCCCGUCCACCGAUUGACUAAGGUUUCCAGAGGAAGGCUCGUCCGCUCUGGGUUAGUCGGGUCCUAAGCUGAGGCCGACAGGCGUAGGCGAUGGAUAACAGGUUGAUAUUCCUGUACCACCUAUAAUCGUUUUAAUCGAUGGGGGGACGCAGUAGGAUAGGCGAAGCGUGCGAUUGGAUUGCACGUCUAAGCAGUAAGGCUGAGUAUUAGGCAAAUCCGGUACUCGUUAAGGCUGAGCUGUGAUGGGGAGAAGACAUUGUGUCUUCGAGUCGUUGAUUUCACACUGCCGAGAAAAGCCUCUAGAUAGAAAAUAGGUGCCCGUACCGCAAACCGACACAGGUAGUCAAGAUGAGAAUUCUAAGGUGAGCGAGCGAACUCUCGUUAAGGAACUCGGCAAAAUGACCCCGUAACUUCGGGAGAAGGGGUGCUCUUUAGGGUUAACGCCCAGAAGAGCCGCAGUGAAUAGGCCCAAGCGACUGUUUAUCAAAAACACAGGUCUCUGCUAAACCGUAAGGUGAUGUAUAGGGGCUGACGCCUGCCCGGUGCUGGAAGGUUAAGAGGAGUGGUUAGCUUCUGCGAAGCUACGAAUCGAAGCCCCAGUAAACGGCGGCCGUAACUAUAACGGUCCUAAGGUAGCGAAAUUCCUUGUCGGGUAAGUUCCGACCCGCACGAAAGGCGUAACGAUUUGGGCACUGUCUCAACGAGAGACUCGGUGAAAUCAUAGUACCUGUGAAGAUGCAGGUUACCCGCGACAGGACGGAAAGACCCCGUGGAGCUUUACUGUAGCCUGAUAUUGAAAUUCGGCACAGCUUGUACAGGAUAGGUAGGAGCCUUUGAAACGUGAGCGCUAGCUUACGUGGAGGCGCUGGUGGGAUACUACCCUAGCUGUGUUGGCUUUCUAACCCGCACCACUUAUCGUGGUGGGAGACAGUGUCAGGCGGGCAGUUUGACUGGGGCGGUCGCCUCUCAAAAAGGAAACGGAGGCGCUCAAAGGUUUCCUCAGAAUGGUUGGAAAUCAUUCAUAGAGUGUAAAGGCAUAAGGGAGCUUGACUGCGAGACCUACAAGUCGAGCAGGGUCGAAAGACGGACUUAGUGAUCCGGUGGUUCCGCAUGGAAGGGCCAUCGCUCAACGGAUAAAAGCUACCCCGGGGAUAACAGGCUUAUCUCCCCAAGAGUUCACAUCGACGGGGAGGUUUGGCACCUCGAUGUCGGCUCAUCGCAUCCUGGGGCUGUAGUCGGUCCCAAGGGUUGGGCUGUUCGCCCAUUAAAGCGGUACGCGAGCUGGGUUCAGAACGUCGUGAGACAGUUCGGUCCCUAUCCGUCGUGGGCGUAGGAAAUUUGAGAGGAGCUGUCCUUAGUACGAGAGGACCGGGAUGGACAUACCUCUGGUGUACCAGUUGUCGUGCCAACGGCAUAGCUGGGUAGCUAUGUGUGGACGGGAUAAGUGCUGAAAGCAUCUAAGCAUGAAGCCCCCUCAAGAUGAGAUUUCCCAACUUCGGUUAUAAGAUCCCUCAAAGAUGAUGAGGUUAAUAGGUUCGAGGUGGAAGCAUGGUGACAUGUGGAGCUGACGAAUACUAAUCGAUCGAAGACUUAAUCAAAUU
Molecule: ribosomal RNA, 2926 nt
Filed under: Staphylococcus aureus
Lineage: Bacteria; Bacillati; Bacillota; Bacilli; Caryophanales; Staphylococcaceae
Description: 23S ribosomal RNA
Rfam family: Bacterial large subunit ribosomal RNA
Source: RNAcentral